GGGACUCAGCAGUGAUAAAAAUU
RNAcentral lists this non-coding RNA (23 nucleotides) under Cricetulus griseus (Chinese hamster). The record is from RNAcentral. Lineage: Eukaryota; Metazoa; Chordata; Mammalia; Rodentia; Cricetidae.